Molecule: ribosomal RNA, 492 nt
Filed under: uncultured bacterium
Lineage: Bacteria
Description: partial 16S ribosomal RNA
Rfam family: Bacterial small subunit ribosomal RNA
Source: RNAcentral
AGUGAACGCUGGCGGUAGGCCUAACACAUGCAAGUCGAACGGCAGCACAGUAAGAGCUUGCUCUUACGGGUGGCGAGUGGCGGACGGGUGAGGAAUACAUCGGAAUCUACUUUUUCGUGGGGGAUAGCGUAGGGAAACUUACGCUAAUACCGCAUACGACCUACGGGUGAAAGCAGGGGAUCUUCGGACCUUGCGCGAUUGAAUGAGCCGAUGUCGGAUUAGCUAGUUGGCGGGGUAAAGGCCCACCAAGGCGACGGUCCGUAGCUGGUCUGAGAGGAUGAUCAGCCACACUGGAACUGAGACACGGUCCAGACUCCUACGGGAGGCAGCAGUGGGGAAUAUUGGACAAUGGGCGCAAGCCUGAUCCAGCCAUACCGCGUGGGUGAAGAAGGCCUUCGGGUUGUAAAGCCCUUUUGUUGGGAAAGAAAAGCAGCAGGUUAAUACCCCGCUGUUCUGACGGUACCCAAAGAAUAAGCACCGGCUAACUUCGUG